CUCAAAAAAAGGGAAAUCACAGAAAUAAUUUAAAAGAGAGACUUGUUUCUUUAAAAGAAAUGAGAAUGACUAAGACAUGGGGAAAAUAUUAGUAUCAACUCCAAACUGCUAGGCUUGUGAAAUAUAAUGAUGCAUUUUUUCUCUAUAAUAAUAAUAAUAAUAAUAAUAAUGAGGAGGAGGAUUGUGGUGCAGAUAAGGCAAAUGGGUUAAUAAAAUGUUAAAUUUGUUUUCUGUGUAUACAAUAAGUCUCCACAUAUAUAGCAUGUGUUGGUGGGCAUGUGAGUGCAUGUGCACAUGUAUAUGCCUGCAUUUCUAAGCCUAAUGCCUGCACUCUUCCACUGUUAGGCUCUACUCUCUCUUUUGAGACAGGGUCUCUCCUGCUUCGCCUCCCUGGCUGACCAGUGAUCGGAGUAAGGCACCUGUUGAUCUCUCCUUGCUCCAAGCAGGUUACAUGUGUGGGCCCUCGUGCUUGGCUUUUUUCCCCUGGUACCAGAGAUCAGAACUUAGGUCUCCAUGCUUAGGGGACAGGCAUACUGACUGAACCAUCUCUCUUGCCCUUGUAAUCACAUUUAAAAUAUGCAUGCACAAAGAUAUCAUGAAAUAUUCUCCCCAAACUAUGUCAUUGCUAAUCAAUUGUGUAUCUAUACAUAUGUAAUCUAGCUAAGAUGUAGCUGUUUGCUUUAGCUCAAAUGACUCAGCUAAGCAGAUUUUUAUGAUUGCGUAGAGGAAUGAGUCUGAUCCAUCAUAUGUUGGACUUGGGGAAAGGCCCAUAGAGAUUGAGAAUGGUAGAAUGUCCCAUGAAUCCUCAGUGAGAUGGUUUUAACCUCUGCAUUACACUGCUAACCGUCUGCUCUUUCCGUCUGUGAGACGUUGCUCUGGGACAGCUUUCAAGAAUUUUCUAUGGGCAACAAGCCUUGGAGGACGUAAGCAUCUUACUGGGCAGCAGAGGAGAAGUUUCUUCACCUCUCAGGAGGAAGAAGUUCCUGCCGUCCAUCGCAUUAGAGGUUUGCGUGGCAGCUUUACCUUCAUACACUAUUAAAGGUUUGCAAUUUCAAGUUUCUCAACUGCUCACAGAAAUUUACCAUUAAAACAGUUUUCCUAGGCCUCUAUUCCAGGUGUCUUCAGAGGAAUAGUGAACAAGGGAAGCAGACGUGAACGUAAGAUACUAAGUAUCUUAACGUCCUCACAGUCUGAACCUUGCUCAUGUAUUCACUUCAUCACGUCAGUCACAGGGCAGUAAUCUUUUCUCCUUCAUUUCUGCCUCGGGUCACUUUGCUGUGCUACUGUUUUAUUUCCUGACGACACCUGGGUACCUAGAUACCAAGCAACACUGAUGCUUAUCAACAAAGGAUGGAGGGAAGACUGAAUGGGACUUGAGAUGCCUGAGGUUUUGAUCCGUGGUCCUUCGGCCCUGUUGCAGAAUUCUUGUCCAGUGGUGAGGCAGAGAAUCAUGGACAGAGCACAUGAUGGUGCGCAGCUACUCACAUCCUGGUCUGGUGACUGGCAGUCAUGACCACUCCCCCAAGAGUUUAUUAUGAAGAAGAGACAAGCAUCCCCCCAUAAAAGACCUCACGUGAAAGACAUAGUGAAGGACCACCUCAUAGAGCGUUGUGGGCUGGACUCCAAUUUGCAAUACCUGCCUUUAAAUUCUUCUGCAGCUCUCUGCACUCAAUCCUUUAUUAUCGAUGAACUCCAAAACAAAUGUGGAUGAAAGGUGGAUGCUUGCCUUCCAAACAAAAUCUGCCUUUGAUGGGUGAUGGGGAAGAAGCGAUAGAAAUGAAGGAUUUCAUGUGAAAAGCAAUCUAAUAUUCUACAAGGCAGCUAAGGGAUGCAAAAGGACAAUCCAGGAGGAGCAGCAUCUACAGUACAUUCUGGAAAAUACUGUGAUCCCACUCACUGUAACGCUGUCCAGCGUGACCACAUUCAGCGUGGCGUAGGCUUUGCGCUUGAGAGGCAGCAAGACAAUGGAGAGGAAUUUGAAUCCACAUGGUUACAUUCAACCUAUGUCCUCAGCUCAUCAAGAAGGCUUUCUGGGUCACACACACAGUUUACCCUCUUACUUUAGGGACUUUGGUCUGUACACAGAGUAUUUGACAGUGCAAAUGUCUGUAUGGACGGCUUCCUCAUACUCGGAUGGCAUUGCUUCCUCCCUGGCUCGUUCAUCUCUUCCCGGAAAGACUUCCUGUGAAGCUGAGCCAUCUGAAGAAUUCCAGGAAAGGAGUGGCCUUCUUCAUACACCCUGGGCUGGAAUAAAAACUCUCCUUUUACCUGAAUAAAGCUUAGUAAACACACUUUUAUUCAAUUUACUCUGAUUCGGAUUUAAAUUCUGGUUUAGAUUUAAAGAUGCUGAUGUAUAUUUCUAGAUAUUCUCUUCACGCAAGGAAUCAAUUUGUCUUUAAUUUAUGCUCAUAUUUUGUAUUGGAUGUAGAGAAUCACAGCAUGUUCAAAACUUGCAAACAUAGUGUUUUUAGUGAUGGACUAAUUACAUUAAUAUUUCCUAGUUAUGCCUUGCAAUGAUUCUCAUUUUCUAUUAAUGUAAGAACUAUUUGGAAAAGCUUGCCCAAACUAUUUCCUGUGACUAUGUUUAUAUUCCACUCCUUUAAGAGACUCAGUGUGAGUCGUGUACCUGACUCCACACUUCUGCGCUGUGGCUCAUCUGAUUCAUCAAGCAAUAGAGUCCACUUCCACUUUCCUGGUUCUGAACAACAUGUAGGGCUUGACCUGAGCCAAUUGCAGAUAGAUAUGUGUGUGGAGCCAUUCCAAUAUUUAGCCUGCCGUUGAAAUGGGAUGGAACCUUAGAACACAUCCUAAACUAUGAUGUAAGCAUAGAUGAACCCGGUAGUUGAGAUCCGUCAAAUUUCAGAACUGAAGAACUAUCAGCAAAUAAAUAAAUUCCUUCACCUCUA
Molecule: long non-coding RNA, 2906 nt
Organism: Mus musculus (house mouse)
Lineage: Eukaryota; Metazoa; Chordata; Mammalia; Rodentia; Muridae
Product: predicted gene, 30374
Exons: 5
Source: RefSeq, a predicted model, not a curated record